This 26-nucleotide non-coding RNA is filed under the name Mus musculus (house mouse). Lineage: Eukaryota; Metazoa; Chordata; Mammalia; Rodentia; Muridae. The record is from RNAcentral.
UUGUACCUUAUACUGCUGCACAGGUU